This 67-nucleotide non-coding RNA is filed under the name pig gut metagenome. Its description in RNAcentral is "Fluoride riboswitch". It matches the Rfam family "Fluoride riboswitch aptamer (crcB RNA motif)", at positions 10 to 63 of the family's 64-position model. The record is from RNAcentral.
AUAGGGGAAUGAGGUUCUCCCCGAGCAUUUGCUCAAACCGCUUUAAAGCUGAUGACUUCUGCGAUUA